This 272-nucleotide ribosomal RNA is filed under the name uncultured prokaryote. RNAcentral describes it as "partial 16S ribosomal RNA". It matches the Rfam family "Bacterial small subunit ribosomal RNA", at positions 524 to 796 of the family's 1533-position model. The record is from RNAcentral.
UACGUAGGGGGCAAGCGUUAUCCGGAUUUACUGGGUGUAAAGGGAGCGUAGACGGUUCGGCAAGUCUGAAGUGAAAGGCGGGGGCUCAACCCCCGGACUGCUUUGGAAACUGUCGGACUAGAGUACCGGAGGGGUAAGCGGAAUUCCUGGUGUAGCGGUGAAAUGCGUAGAUAUCAGGAGGAACACCGGUGGCGAAGGCGGCUUACUGGACGGCAACUGACGUUGAGGCUCGAAAGCGUGGGGAGCAAACAGGAUUAGAUACCGGGUAGUCC